RNAcentral lists this long non-coding RNA (1395 nucleotides) under Coturnix japonica (Japanese quail). RNAcentral's name for it is "lncRNA (ENSCJPG00005012403.1)". Lineage: Eukaryota; Metazoa; Chordata; Aves; Galliformes; Phasianidae. The record is from RNAcentral.
GAGCCAGUGUGCUCACACAGCACUGAGCAGGGCACUGCCAGUGCAAGGUGCUCCAUGUUCUUAGACUUUGAGAACCCUGUUGUGGGUGUCCUUCCUUUCUCUCUGCAUGGAGGGCUGUGUCCCACUCCCACAUGGGAGCCUUGUGGGGCCAUGGGAUGCUGGCAGCAGCCCUGCCUUCCCCGGGCUGCACCUGCCCAGUCAUGUCUGAGAGCACAGAGGGAAGAACUGCUCUUGCUAAAGAGGAGCUUGUCUGCUGGAAGAGCGCCCGCUCGCAGCAGGGAACAAAGUUUGUCAUCCUGAGACACCAGGCCUUUGACGAAGCGCAGGUAACCUAUGACAGUGCAUGUGGCACUAACAAAGAGCCCCUGUCAGCCUUUGUGGAAGACUUUGAGACUUCAGUCGGCGCUGACUUUCCAGAAGAUGAGGAGUGUGGUGGUGCAGUGCUGGGCUGUGAUUCCUCGGAUCCCUCAGUUGGUGGAGGAACAGAAGAAGCUCCGCAUGGAGAUGAAAAGAUGACAGAAGCAGCAGAAUCCCAGAAGUUGCGAUCGCACAGGCAGAUGAGGAUUAAAAAUGACCUUGCCUGGAGCGUGUUAGAAGAUUAAACAGCAGCUCUCAGUGCUCCAGGGAGCUAACAGUGGUGUCCAGCUCCUCAUUCAACAGUUCUGAAGAGAGUUCCUCCGUUUAACCCCAGGGUCUGCAAAACAAUCCUUUCGUUGACGAGGUUGGAAUUAGAAGGGAGGAAGAAAGCCGCAGUGCUCUCCUAAGCUCUGUCUGUUUCCAGAAGCAGAUGCCAGUCACUGGGGUUUGUGCAGAUGUUUCUGAUGACAUGGUCUCUGCUUGACUCUGCCUUGACAAGAUUCAGCUCAAGUCCCCGGGGAGUCAGGAUUGAUUUGUUUGGGGUCCUGUCUCCAAGAGGCUUGUAGUGACAUCUGAAUGUGUUUUCUUAAUUCAUAGAAAAUGACCAUGUUUUUACAGGUACAAGUUCUCUCGAUGUAACAGCUAGCCUCCCUGAAACUAUUUGUAUGGGGAGCCUGCGAGAUGAACAGAACUAAGUGUAGCUGUGUGAUACUUAUGUUCUGAGGCGUGCUCAUGCUGCCACACCAGAACGUGGGCAUUCUUUAUUCUGGGCAGCAGGGAUGCUCCAGCAUCAGCUUAGAGAUUUCUUAGUUAUUCAUCUCUGCCCACUUUUAGAGCAGAACUGUAUGGUAAAAUAACAAACUGUGCACAAAUGAAGUUGUUUCAAUACAUAAUCCAUUCAGUCAGCUGCUUUCCCUGCUUGGACCUGGAUGCUAACCUUGUCCUUACACUGUUGUAAGAGGUGGGUCUUGCUUUAAUUGCAACAAUUCUUAAUAGCAUUAGAACUGUAAUAAUAAAUACAUGCUAGCUACCUCUCCA